GAAUUUUCCGCAAUGGGCGAAAGCCUGACGGAGCAAUACCGCGUGAGGGAAGACGGCCUAUGGGUUGUAAACCUCUUUUCUCAGGGAGGAACUCAAUGACGUGUACCUGAAGAAUAAGCAUCGGCUAACUCCGUGCCAGCAGCCGCGGUAAGACGGAGGAUGCAAGUGUUAUCCGGAAUCACUGGGCGUAAAGCGUCUGUAGGUGGUUUAGUAAGUCAACUGUUAAAUCUUGAGGCUCAACUUCAAAAUCGCAGUCGAAACUAUUAGACUAGAGUAUAGUAGAGGUAAAGGGAAUUUCCAGUGGAGCGGUGAAAUGCGUAGAUAUUGGAAAGAACACCAGUGGCGAAGGCGCUCUGCUGGGCCAUAACUGACGCUCAUGGACGAAAGCCAGGGGAGCGAAAGGGAUUAGAUACCCCUGUAGUC
This 423-nucleotide ribosomal RNA is filed under the name uncultured cyanobacterium. RNAcentral describes it as "bacterial SSU rRNA". It matches the Rfam family "Bacterial small subunit ribosomal RNA", at positions 359 to 795 of the family's 1533-position model. The record is from RNAcentral. Lineage: Bacteria; Bacillati; Cyanobacteriota.